This is an RNA transcript of Mesoplodon densirostris (Blainville's beaked whale), 2612 nucleotides long. It is a transcript of the gene named ribosomal protein L30, with no coding region annotated. The transcript has 4 exons. NCBI's taxonomy places the organism in Eukaryota, Metazoa, Chordata, Mammalia, Artiodactyla, Ziphiidae. The record is from RefSeq and is a predicted model, not a curated record.
UGGGUGAGUGCAGGGGAGUGCACGGAGCUGCUUCAGCCCCGGCGGAACCGACAGCAGAGGGUAGACCCGGGAGCUGCGGCACACCCCGGUCCUCCCCGAGUCUCCUCAAGAGCCCCGACUUGGGGCAGAGAUGCACUCAGCGGCGCUAAGACCGAGGUCCAGCCGCCGCCGCCGCCGCCGCCUCUUCUCACCGCCCCUCCCGCCUCACUCUCAGUCGGUUUCUCCAACUCGCGUCCGGUUCCACUUUCCUCAGUUCCUCAGUCCUCAGCUAUGAGCAGCGGAACAACACAGACGGCGAGGUUUACGGCCCGCAGCCGGCAGGUGGGCAGCACCAGUCAGUUGCCAAACUAAUUCGAAGCCCCUAGAGAUACCCACAUCAGCCCUUCUCUUCUUGCCCCGCCCCUUCCGCUUGUGAUUUGCUUCAGCUUCCGGUCGCUGGGUCUCAGCCCCGACGUGAAGAGCUUGGCAUUGUGGGAUUUCCUUCCUUUCUCGCUCUCCGGCCAUCUUGGCGGCUGCAGUAGGCUGGGGGCGUCCCGCGCCUAAGGCAGGAAGAUGGUGGCCGCAAAGAAGACGAAAAAGUCACUGGAGUCGAUCAACUCUAGGCUCCAACUGGUUAUGAAAAGUGGAAAGUACGUGCUGGGGUACAAGCAGACUCUGAAAAUGAUCCGACACGGCAAAGCGAAACUGGUCAUCCUCGCCAACAACUGCCCAGCCUUGAGGUAAUUGAAAGAACCUGAGUACAUUUGUCGCCCACUGCAAAUUGGUCGUGAGCGAAUAUCCAGGAAUGUGGACUUGCAAUCUGGGUAGCAUAAACUGGGUAUCAUGUAAAAUUUUGUAUUACAGAGGGACACCUGGAGAAUAAUUUAACGGUUGUUGAUUUUUGGCUUUUGAUUUUUCUCCCCCUCGUCAUAUUCUCUCCUCGUAUGAGGUUCUCUUUGGGAGAAAUGCGUGGCAGAAGGGGUAAAAACCAGAGAACGUCCAAGUUUGAGGGCAGCGCAGAAACAUAACUUGUUUGUCCAUGUGUCCUGCCUUUUGGGUCAUUUUUUUUUUUUUUUAAUUUUAAGAUGCUUUAAAAGAGCUUCAUUUUAUGGACUUGUUGUAGUGUAGAAAAGCUAAGAUCAGAGACGUUCAGGCUGGCCUGUGGAGCUGCAGGUUCCCAGUUCACCCAGUUUUUGCUUGCCUCACUGUUUUGAAACUGAAUUUAGUGGGUAUUGUAAAUAAGUUAAAGAAACUUGGACCAUGCAGAAUAUAAGCCCUGUUUUCAGUCCCUUUCCCUUGUUGACUUUCUAUGGUAAUACAUAACCUCACAGCAUUUCAUAUAGUGUCUGUAGGUAAUUGGCAAAGCCUGGAGAGAUCUCUUCCAUCCCAUCCCCUCCCAAAUCUCUGGUCUUAUUCCAAACCUUUCAUGCUUACCUUCUAUAGCAGUGCUUUUCAAACAGUAUGCACAGUCACGAAUGAUCUGGUUUAAAUGCAAUUUCUGAUAUAAUGGAUCUGGAUAGGGGCCCGAGAUUAUGCAUUUUUAACAAGCACCUUUUGGCACUACUUGUCUGCGGAUGCACACUUUGAGUAGUGGCAACAGUUUGUUUUUUGUUUUUUUUAAUGAAUUGAAGGUUUGUUGCAACCCUGCAUUGAAUAAGUCUGUAGGUUACAGUUUUUCAACAGCAUUUGCUCACUUCAUGUCUAUGUCACAUUUUGGUAAUUCUCGAGAUAUUUCAGAUUUUCUUUAUUACUUGUUAUGGUGAUCUGUGAUCUUUGAUGCUGCGACUCCCAGAAGGUUCAGAUGAUGGGUAGCUUUUUAAUUAAUUUAUUUAUUUUUGCAAUAAAGUAUUUUUUAAUUAAUGUAUGUACGUUGGUUUUUUUAGACACAGUGUUGUUUCACACCUAAUAGGCUACAGUAUAGGGUAAACACAACUUCUAUAUACACUGGGAAACCAAAAAAUUCCUGGGACUAGCUUUAUUGCAAUAUUUGAUUUAUUGCAGUGGUCUGGAAUGAAUAUGCAGUAACUGAAGUAUACCUGUAAUAUCACUCUCCAUCUAGGUUUCAGAGCACCAGAGGGUGAUAGAAAUGGCUUAGAAGUUGUCAUGGGAAUUAUAUAAUGUAAAGUGUCUGGCGAUAGUAAAUGCUAAGUAAAUGAUAAUUUUAUUUUGUAUGCUACUCUUUUCCACAAGCACGGGUGUUUACUGGUUGUCCCAUCCCUUGUAAGGGAUCCAAGGAAGGAUGGUUUGUAUUGAAUAAUGGAUAUGUUAAUGUUUUUAAAAGUAAUAACUGGCUUACUGUUUGAAGGCCUUACCAACAUUAGAACUAAUGAGAGAAGUAACAUUUAAUCUGUGUCACUUGGUAUGGUAUUUAUUUACCUUCUUUUGGUUCCCAAAGGAAAUCUGAAAUAGAGUAUUAUGCCAUGUUGGCCAAAACUGGUGUCCAUCACUACAGUGGCAAUAAUAUUGAAUUGGGCACAGCGUGUGGAAAAUACUACAGAGUAUGCACACUUGCUAUCAUUGAUCCAGGUGAUUCUGAUAUCAUUAGAAGCAUGCCAGAACAGACUGGUGAAAAGUAAAUCAUGCACAAUUUUUCUUUAAUAAAACUGGCCAGAGCUUGUUUUAAAAAUACUGUA